CCUACGGGCGGCUGCAGUGGGGAAUAUUGGACAAUGGGCGAAAGCCUGAUCCAGCCAUGCCGAGUGUGUGAAGAAGGCCUUCGGGUUGUAAAGCACUUUCAGUGGGGAAGAAAGCCUUGGGGCUAAUACCCUCGAGGAAGGACAUCACCCACAGAAGAAGCACCGGCUAACUCCGUGCCAGCAGCCGCGGUAAUACGGAGGGUGCGAGCGUUAAUCGGAAUUACUGGGCGUAAAGCGCGCGUAGGCGGUCUGAUAAGCCGGUUGUGAAAGCCCCGGGCUCAACCUGGGAACGGCAUCCGGAACUGUCAGGCUAGAGUGCAGGAGAGGAAGGUAGAAUUCCCGGUGUAGCGGUGAAAUGCGUAGAGAUCGGGAGGAAUACCAGUGGCGAAGGCGGCCUUCUGGACUGACACUGACGCUGAGGUGCGAAAGCGUGGGUAGCAAACAGGAUUAGAUACCCCGGUAGUC
This 465-nucleotide ribosomal RNA is filed under the name Vreelandella stevensii. Its description in RNAcentral is "partial 16S ribosomal RNA". It matches the Rfam family "Bacterial small subunit ribosomal RNA", at positions 338 to 795 of the family's 1533-position model. The record is from RNAcentral. Lineage: Bacteria; Pseudomonadati; Pseudomonadota; Gammaproteobacteria; Oceanospirillales; Halomonadaceae.